AUUUGCCCCAAAAUCCCCUCCUGGGCUGCUGCUGGGCGCUUUGGAGGGCACAGGCACUGCCGGAUGCUGUUCCCAGACGAGUUUUCCAAAGCGAUGGGAUUGAACAUUUCCUGCUGAGGGGUCUCACCUCCUUCCCCGAGAGAAUUCCCACAGGAAUUAGCCCAGGGCAGAGCUGAGGAGGCUGCAGGCAGGGCUGUGGUGCUGUGGCCGCGCAGAACGGGUGAAAGAAACCCUCAAACGUGAACUCCCAAGACAUUACAGCAACCGCCCCGUCAAUCCCUGAUUUACAGGCUCAGAUUUAUGGCUCCACAAUUAUUAUUCCACUCGCA
Lonchura striata (white-rumped munia) is the source of this 329-nucleotide non-coding RNA. NCBI's taxonomy places the organism in Eukaryota, Metazoa, Chordata, Aves, Passeriformes, Estrildidae. The record is from RefSeq and is a predicted model, not a curated record.